This 480-nucleotide ribosomal RNA is filed under the name uncultured bacterium. RNAcentral describes it as "bacterial SSU rRNA". It matches the Rfam family "Bacterial small subunit ribosomal RNA", at positions 21 to 518 of the family's 1533-position model. The record is from RNAcentral.
GGCUCAGGACGAACGCUGGCGGCGUGCCUAACACAUGCAAGUCGAGCGAGGAGAUCCUUCGGGAUGAUCCUAGCGGCGGACGGGUGAGUAACACGUGGGCAACCUGCCUCAUAGAGAGGAAUAGCCUUCCGAAAGGGAGAUUAAUACCUCAUAACAUUGCAGUUUCGCAUGGAACAGCAAUUAAAGGAGUAAUCCGCUAUGAGAUGGGCCCGCGGCGCAUUAGCUAGUUGGUGAGGUAACGGCUCACCAAGGCGACGAUGCGUAGCCGACCUGAGAGGGUGAUCGGCCACAUUGGGACUGAGACACGGCCCAGACUCCUACGGGAGGCAGCAGUGGGGAAUAUUGCACAAUGGGGGAAACCCUGAUGCAGCCAACGCCGCGUGAGUGAUGACGGCCUUCGGGUUGUAAAGCUCUGUCUUCAGGGACGAUAAUGACGGUACCUGAGGAGGAAGCCACGGCUAACUACGUGCCAGCAGCUGC